GACGAACGCUGGCGGCGUGCCUAACACAUGCAAGUCGAGCGGGGAUUUAAGUGGAAGUUCUUCGGAAUGGAGAUUUAAAUUCUAGCGGCGGACGGGUGAGUAACGCGUGAACAAUCUGUCCCGGACAGGGGGAUAACACUUGGAAACAGGUGCUAAUACCGCAUAAGACCACGGCCUCGCAUGGGGCUGAGGUAAAAGGAGCAAUCCGGUUCGGGGUGAGUUCGCGUCCGAUUAGCUAGUUGGUGAGGUAACGGCCCACCAAGGCGAUGAUCGGUAGCCGGCCUGAGAGGGUGAACGGCCACAUUGGAACUGAGAGACGGUCCAAACUCCUACGGGAGGCAGCAGUGGGGAAUAUUGGGCAAUGGGCGAAAGCCUGACCCAGCAACGCCGCGUGAGGGAAGAAGGUUUUCGGAUUGUAAACCUCUGUCCUAUGGGACGAAGGAAGUGACGGUACCAUAGGAGGAAGCCCCGGCUAACUACGUG
RNAcentral lists this ribosomal RNA (483 nucleotides) under uncultured bacterium. Its description in RNAcentral is "partial 16S ribosomal RNA". It matches the Rfam family "Bacterial small subunit ribosomal RNA", at positions 28 to 507 of the family's 1533-position model. The record is from RNAcentral.